AUGGACGCUAGCAGUUGUAGCCCCAGUGGAGCCGCUCUACCAACAACCCGGCUACUCCCGAUACGCACGCAACGAUCAGCAGUGGCCGAAUGGACGACGACGGACUAUUCCGCGACCGCGGCGGCAGCGGAGGAGGAGCCCUUGAGCCCCACUGCAAGGCUCAUGGAAACCAUACACAUCAUCGUCACCGUCGGCCUUGGCUGCCCCGUAAACCUCCCCGUCUUCAGCGCCAGCAUCGCCGCCCAGCUUGCCCGCUACCCACGCUUCCGUAGCAUCCAAGUGACAGACGGCUCAAAAGGCCCACGGUGGGUGCGGACGGCGGUGAACGUGGACGACCACAUGAUCGUCCCGACGCUGCACCCCGUCGCCGUGGAGGCCGACCCGGACCGGGCCUUGGAGGACUACGUGGCCUCGCUGUACACUCUCCCCAUGGACCGCUCCCGUCCACUCUGGGAGUUCCACUUCCUAGACUUCCCAACAUCCGAGGCGGCCUCCACCGCGGUGAUCCGCCUGCACCACUCUCUCGGUGACGGGAUGUCGCUGAUCACGCUGCUCCUGGCGUCCGCCCGGAGCGUCGCCGACCCAACACGCCUGCCGGCCAUGCCGGAGCAGCCGGCGCGCACUGGCGCCAUCUACGUGCCACGGCGCCGGCAGCCCCCGGCCGCAGGUGUCCUGGCAGCGUUCGUCACAUGGAUCUGGUCGUAUCUUGUGCUCGUAUGGAACACCAUGGUAGACUUUGCCAUCUUUGCUGUGACCAUUGUGUUCCGUAGAGACCUGCACACGCUCUUCAAACGUGUGGACGGCGACGUCACGUCCAACCGCAGCAGGCGCUUUGUGCACCGGAGUAUUAGCUUGGACGAUGUCAAGCUCAUCAAGAAUGUCAUGAACUGCACUGUCAAUGAUGUGCUAGUCGGGGCGACUUCGGCAGCUCUGUCACGAUAUUACUUUCGCAAGUCUGGUUCCUCUAAGGCCAACAAACUAUGUUUGCGGUCUGUUCUCCCUGUCAAUACAAGACCAACCACUAGCCUACAAACCUAUGUUGAUAUGAUAGAAUCCGGUAAGAGUAACGAUGUGGCAUGGGGAAAUCAACUAGGCUACAUCCUCCUUCCAUUUCAUUUAGCGAUGCACAGUGAUCCACUUGCAUAUGUUCGCAAGGCAAAGAAGAUCAUCGAUAGGAAAAAGAGCUCACUUGAAGUUAUCUUCACGUGUAAGAUGAAUGCAUUUUUUGUCAAAAUGUUUGGCAUGAAGGUGGCCUCUUUUAUCUAUCAACGCAUGUUCGCCAAUACAACUUUUUUGUUCUCAAACAUGGUUGGACCAACUGAACAAAUAGAGUUCUACGGGCACCCAAUUGUCUUCAUUGCACCUUGUAGUUAUGGAGGUCCACAUGCCUUAGUUGUGCAGUACCAGAGUUACGAUAACACUAUUAAGGUAAUUCUGUCAGUCGACGAUGAAGUGAUUCCAGAUUAUGCUCAACUUUUGGAUGACUUCACUGAGUCCUUCGGGCGCAUUAAGGAUGCGUCUUCAAGGCUUUCAGCAUCCAUCAUCAAGAAAGAGUAA
RNAcentral lists this ribosomal RNA (1557 nucleotides) under Triticum aestivum (bread wheat). RNAcentral's name for it is "partial small subunit ribosomal RNA". Lineage: Eukaryota; Viridiplantae; Streptophyta; Magnoliopsida; Poales; Poaceae. The record is from RNAcentral.